RNAcentral lists this transfer RNA (70 nucleotides) under Marmota monax (woodchuck). RNAcentral describes it as "tRNA.Ala". Lineage: Eukaryota; Metazoa; Chordata; Mammalia; Rodentia; Sciuridae. The record is from RNAcentral.
GGUUCUGGCUCAGCGGUAGAGUGCUUGCCUAGCAUGUGCGAGGAGGCACUGGGUUCAAUCCUCAGCAUCA